AAAUUGAAGAGUUUGAUCAUGGCUCAGAUUGAACGCUGGCGGCAGGCCUAACACAUGCAAGUCGAACGGUAACAGAAAGCAGCUUGCUGCUUUGCUGACGAGUGGCGGACGGGUGAGUAAUGUCUGGGAAACUGCCUGAUGGAGGGGGAUAACUACUGGAAACGGUAGCUAAUACCGCAUAACGUCGCAAGACCAAAGAGGGGGACCUUCGGGCCUCUUGCCAUCGGAUGUGCCCAGAUGGGAUUAGCUUGUUGGUGGGGUAACGGCUCACCAAGGCGACGAUCUCUAGCUGGUCUGAGAGGAUGACCAGCCACACUGGAACUGAGACACGGUCCAGACUCCUACGGGAGGCAGCAGUGGGGAAUAUUGCACAAUGGGCGCAAGCCUGAUGCAGCCAUGCCGCGUGUAUGAAGAAGGCCUUCGGGUUGUAAAGUACUUUCAGCGGGGAGGAAGGGAGUAAAGUUAAUACCUUUGCUCAUUGACGUUACCCGCAGAAGAAGCACCGGCUAACUCCGUGCCAGCAGCCGCGGUAAUACGGAGGGUGCAAGCGUUAAUCGGAAUUACUGGGCGUAAAGCGCACGCAGGCGGUUUGUUAAGUCAGAUGUGAAAUCCCCGGGCUCAACCUGGGAACUGCAUCUGAUACUGGCAAGCUUGAGUCUCGUAGAGGGGGGUAGAAUUCCAGGUGUAGCGGUGAAAUGCAUAGAGAUCUGGAGGAAUACCGGUGGCGAAGGC
Molecule: ribosomal RNA, 732 nt
Filed under: Escherichia coli
Lineage: Bacteria; Pseudomonadati; Pseudomonadota; Gammaproteobacteria; Enterobacterales; Enterobacteriaceae
Description: bacterial SSU rRNA
Rfam family: Bacterial small subunit ribosomal RNA
Source: RNAcentral